RNAcentral lists this ribosomal RNA (428 nucleotides) under uncultured bacterium. Its description in RNAcentral is "partial 16S ribosomal RNA". It matches the Rfam family "Bacterial small subunit ribosomal RNA", at positions 354 to 796 of the family's 1533-position model. The record is from RNAcentral.
GUGGGGAAUAUUGGGCAAUGGGCGCAAGCCUGACCCAGCAACGCCGCGUGAGGGAAGAAGGUUUUCGGAUUGUAAACCUCUGUCGCAGAUGACGAAGGAAGUGACGGUAAUCUGUGAGGAAGCCCCGGCUAACUACGUGCCAGCAGCCGCGGUAAUACGUAGGGGGCGAGCGUUGUCCGGAAUUACUGGGCGUAAAGGGAGCGUAGGUGGUCGAUUAAGUUGGAUGUGAAAUACCCGGGCUUAACUUGGGGGGUGCAUCCAAUACUGGUUGACUAGAGUACAGGAGAGGAAAGCGGAAUUCCUAGUGUAGCGGUGAAAUGCAUAGAUAUUAGGAGGAACAUCGGUGGCGAAGGCGGCUUUCUGGACUGACACUGACGCUGAGGCUCGAAAGCGUGGGGAGCAAACAGGAUUAGAAACCCCUGUAGUCC